RNAcentral lists this ribosomal RNA (253 nucleotides) under uncultured bacterium. Its description in RNAcentral is "partial 16S ribosomal RNA". It matches the Rfam family "Bacterial small subunit ribosomal RNA", at positions 524 to 776 of the family's 1533-position model. The record is from RNAcentral.
UACAGAGGUGGCAAGCGUUGUUCGGAAUUACUGGGCGUAAAGGGCGCGUAGGCGGUUCGUUAAGUCCUGUGUGAAAUCCCCCGGCUCAACUGGGGAACUGCACAGGAAACUAGCGGGCUUGAGUUCGGGAGAGGGAAGCGGAAUUCCGGGUGUAGCGGUGAAAUGCGUAGAUAUCCGGAGGAACACCGGUGGCGAAGGCGGCUUCCUGGACCGACACUGACGCUGAGGCGCGAAAGCUAGGGGAGCAAACAGG